CCUCGGCGGGGAGGUCUGGGGGGUUGCGCUCCGGCGCUCCCCCCGGGCCCCCGCCGGCCGCGCCGAACUCUUCAUUUGCAAAGCGGACUGUACGAUCUGAUUAUAUCUUGAAAAACAAGUCAAAACUUUCAACAACGGAUCUCUUGGUUCUGGCAUCGAUGAAGAACGCAGCGAAAUGCGAUAAGUAAUGUGAAUUGCAGAAUUCAGUGAAUCAUCGAAUCUUUGAACGCACAUUGCGCCCGGCAGCAAUCUGCCGGGCAUGCCUGUCCGAGCGUCAUUUCUGCCCUCGAGCGCGGUUCGGCCCCUAGCGGGCCGGCCGCCGCCCGGUGUUGGGGCGCUGCGGGCCCUCGUGCCCGCAGGCCCUGAAAUGAAGUGGCGGUCCCGCCGCGGCGCCCCCUGCGUAGUAGUAAAGCACCUCGCAUCGGGUCCCGGCGGAGGCCAGCCGUCGAACCUCUCUUUUGAUGGUUUGACCUCGGAUCAGGUAGGGUUACCCGCUGAACUUAAGCAUAUCAAUAA
This 516-nucleotide small RNA is filed under the name Microascus alveolaris. Its description in RNAcentral is "eukaryotic LSU rRNA". The stretch from base 124 to 277 matches the Rfam family "5.8S ribosomal RNA". Lineage: Eukaryota; Fungi; Ascomycota; Sordariomycetes; Microascales; Microascaceae. The record is from RNAcentral.